Acomys russatus (golden spiny mouse) is the source of this 592-nucleotide long non-coding RNA. RefSeq lists it as uncharacterized. The record is from RefSeq and is a predicted model, not a curated record. The transcript has 4 exons. Lineage: Eukaryota; Metazoa; Chordata; Mammalia; Rodentia; Muridae.
AGGAAAAGGAAAUAACAGUCUUGACAGGUCUUCCAAUCUAGAGUAGUGGCUGUCUGUGGAGUUCUGUUAAAGUCAACAGCAUAGGAAAGGAAGCUUAUGCGGACACCGUGAAGAGGAUCUGCCUCUUUGUGGAGGGCUUUGCUUUCAAUGUUCUUGGUGCUCUGGAUGUAUAGAGUCCCACAGAAAAGGCCUCUUCACUGGUGAUGAAAGAAACUAAGAAUUUAUACAAAUGGCAACUGUAAAGUAGAAGCAAAGCAGGAGAGUCAACACGGCCCUUUCAUCAGUUUGCUUAUAUGGUGGAUUGCAUUGAUGGAUUUCCAUAUAUUGAACCACUCCUGCAUGCCUGGAAUGAAGCCUACUUGGUCAUGGUGGAUGAUAUUUUCAGCAUGUUCUUGGAUUCAGUUUGAUUCCAAGAUGGACUGUGCCUGGGAGGCAAAGGCAGGAGGAUCAAGAGUUUAAGACUAACCUCAACUUUAUAUCAACCUAGAGGACUUCUAGGGAUACAGCAAUGAGGACCGUGGACUGAUCCUAGAACCUCCAGUGUGCAAAGCCACUGCCUCUGAGCUCCAUCUUCCUCAGCUUCCUUUUUAAG